UGAGGCUGAUUUAAACCAAUGAGCUGAGCUGGAGGACUGAGGAACAGCUGUAGGGUGUCUAAAAUCAACAACGUUUGGAAGAAAUGAAGUCCUUUCCAAGAUUAGGAUUAAAUGAUCCAUAUGAGGAUUUUACAGCUGAUCCAGAUUAUAUGGAUGUGAUGAUUUGGAUCAACAUUCAUGUGUGUUUACCCUUCACCUUUUUGGUCAUCGCUUUGUGCUGUACAGUCCGUUUGGAUCACAUUCCAGUUACCUACUACAUGAACCUCCUCGUUUCCAAUCUGAUCCAGUUCAUCAGUCUGAUUGUAUUUGUGCAUAUAGGCAGAUUUCAUUUCAAUAGCCUUUCUAAAUUUUUUAUUUCCUACAGCUGUAGUGGAAUGGCCAGUUUUUCCUUCAGGAUGGUCUUUGCUCUGGAAAGGUUCCUUUACAUAUCCAAGCCACAGUGUCAUUUCAUGAGACAGUGUAAAGGUUUAGUGACUGUCAGUGUUUGCGGAUGGAUUUUUUCUGGUGUCAUCGUCUUUCUUUUAUUCGCUUUUUAUCACGAUUUACUCCAGAUCUGUCUUUUGCUCCUUGCUACCCUGGUAACCAUCAUCCUUCUUGCUGUGACUCUUAAGUCACUGUGUAAAGCUUCCUCGAUGCCUGUCAAAGAAAAAUGCAGAAACAUAGGAAUUUUAGUUCUGUUGCUGGUUAAUCACAUAGUGACUAUUUUACCAACAGAUGCUUAUUUUUUUUAUUCAUGCUUAUAUUUCUAUCCGAAUAAAUAUGAAUAUUUCAGGCAAAUGGAGACAUCAUUGUUCACAGACAUCAUUUUCACUUUGAGUCUCCACGGUCCUGUCAUGGACUUGAUUCUGUUUGCUUUCAUGUCCAAAGGGCCUUUCAUUAAGCUCCUGAUGCGUCUCUGCUGCUGCAGGAAGGAAACAGCUGCAGCAAAUGACACCAGCAGCUCAUCAGUUUGACUGAAUCAAGUAGGGAAGAGAAACAAAAAACAAAAAUAUAUGCCAAAUAGGCCUUUAUUUCAAGUUAAAGAAACAUUGAUCCUAAAAAUUCAAAGGUUGAAUUGCAGUUUCUGGAACCAGAACUAUAUGUGUAUAUUUACUUCCAUAAAAAUGUUUUGGUUUUAUUAGCAGCCAGAUGAUUUAUAUUAAAUAUUUCAAUUAUUUGUUUUUGUUUCUUAUAAAUAUUUGGUUCUGAGUUUUUCUUGUUGUGUUUCAGAGGCUGCUGCCUCACUGAGGCACUUUGUGAACUUAUUACUAAAAACACAGAUUAGUAAUUCUGUGUUUUUUUCCAUUUACCUUUUUUGUUUUAAAACAUUUACACUGUACACAUCAUAUUGUGAUUUAAAAGAAAAAAAAAUGCUUUGCUUCUUUUAGCAUCGGUGCAGAAAUAUCUUCUAAAGUUUCUGAAAUUGUAACGAUUAGCCGAUAAAUUGUAAAUACAUUUUUAGUUUUGUUGUAACUAAAAUUACUGUUGUGAAUUAUGAUCUGAUCAGUUUGUUAAGGCAGGAGAAAUUAUUAUUUAGUCAAUGGAACCUAAAUCUAUUUUAAGCUUUGACAAUAGCUUAAAACUUUGCUUUUAAGAUGUUUUAGUUUUGUUUUAUUUGCACUAAACAAAAUGCUGCAAAUUAGCUUAGCUAUAAGUACAAUGAUACAUGAUAGAACUGCUUUUUUAUUUGGUUUAUUUAUGUAAAUUUGUGUCUGUUCCUGUCAAAUCAACCUAAUUGUAUUGAGUUGAAAAUCUAAUUGCGUUUGGAAAAAAUUAACAGCAACAUUCAGUUUUUUCAGUCUGUGAUUUAUUUCUUUUUUUAAUUUGAUCAUUUAGUUGUACAUUAAGAGCAGAAAGCAUCUUACAGCUCUACAGAAGCUGAAAUGAAAUGUAAAUCAACGAUGUUACAUUUAAGUUAGCUGAAGUUUAUUUUCAUGAAAUACUUUUGAAUUCAUUUUAUCUCUGUAUAAAUAAAGAUCAGUUUCAACUUGUU
Molecule: long non-coding RNA, 1972 nt
Organism: Xiphophorus hellerii (green swordtail)
Lineage: Eukaryota; Metazoa; Chordata; Actinopteri; Cyprinodontiformes; Poeciliidae
Exons: 4
Source: RefSeq, a predicted model, not a curated record